This 187-nucleotide unclassified non-coding RNA is filed under the name soil metagenome. RNAcentral's name for it is "partial internal transcribed spacer 1". The record is from RNAcentral.
CAAUAAGAGUGUUUAUGGCACUCUUCAAAAAAUCCAUACCCACCUUGUGUGCAACGUAAGAAGAAAAAAAGAGAUGCGAGUCAUGGGGAAACCCAAGUCUCGCUCCCUUUCUUUUUUCUUUUCCACAUACACCUUUCUAUUAGUUCCUAUUGUCUGAAGCUGUUAGAGAAUGACUAAUUCUUAAACA